RNAcentral lists this ribosomal RNA (497 nucleotides) under uncultured bacterium. Its description in RNAcentral is "partial 16S ribosomal RNA". It matches the Rfam family "Bacterial small subunit ribosomal RNA", at positions 28 to 507 of the family's 1533-position model. The record is from RNAcentral.
GAUGAACGCUGGCGGCGUGCCUAAUACAUGCAAGUCGAGCGAACGGACGAGAAGCUUGCUUCUCUGAUGUUAGCGGCGGACGGGUGAGUAACACGUGGAUAACCUACCUAUAAGACUGGGAUAACUUCGGGAAACCGUAGCUAAUACCGCAUAAUAUUUUGAACCGCAUGGUUCAAAAGUGAAAGACGGUCUUGCUGUCACUUAUAGAUGGAUCCGCGCUGCAUUAGCUAGUUGGUAAGGUAACGGCUUACCAAGGCAACGAUGCAUAGCCGACCUGAGAGGGUGAUCGGCCACACUGGAACUGAGACACGGUCCAGACUCCUACGGGAGGCAGCAGUAGGGAAUCUUCCGCAAUGGGCGAAAGCCUGACGGAGCAACGCCGCGUGAGUGAUGAAGGUCUUCGGAUCGUAAAACUCUGUUAUUAGGGAAGAACAUAUGUGUAAGUAACUGUGCACAUCUUGACGGUACCUAAUCAGAAAGCCACGGCUAACUACGUG